Molecule: non-coding RNA, 261 nt
Organism: Cucurbita pepo subsp. pepo (vegetable marrow)
Lineage: Eukaryota; Viridiplantae; Streptophyta; Magnoliopsida; Cucurbitales; Cucurbitaceae
Source: RefSeq, a predicted model, not a curated record
CCUAGGUUCUUACCUGUUUUCUUUCUUCUCUGAUUCUAACCCUCUCCCAUUUCUGUUGAAGCAGCACAGCCCCACCGGCUCACCCCCUUCUUUCUUCUCCUCCUCCUAUCUACCUUUCUCCUGCGACCCUACGCUCCCCCGUCUUCUGCCGCAGCCCCUCCAUCUCUCAGGCGCCCUUAGUUCAGGAAUCAUGGCGGACGAAGCUCAGCAUGAUGUGAACGAUCAGGUGGCAGAUAUUGCACCCUUUGAUCCAACUAAGAA